RNAcentral lists this ribosomal RNA (473 nucleotides) under uncultured bacterium. RNAcentral's name for it is "SSU rRNA". It matches the Rfam family "Bacterial small subunit ribosomal RNA", at positions 26 to 518 of the family's 1533-position model. The record is from RNAcentral.
AGGACGAACGCUGGCGGCGUGCUUAACACAUGCAAGUCGAGCGGAAAGGCCCUUCGGGGUACUCGAGCGGCGAACGGGUGAGUAACACGUGGGCAACCUGCCCCUAGCACUGGGAUAAGCCCGGGAAACCGGGUCUAAUACCGGAUAUGACCUUCAAGGGCAUCCUCGAAGGUGUAAAGGAUUCUGGCUAGGGAUGGGCCCGCGGCCUAUCAGCUUGUUGGUGGGGUAACGCCCACCAAGGCAACGACGGGUAGCCGGCCUGAGAGGGCGACCGGCCACACUGGGACUGAGACACGGCCCAGACUCCUACGGGAGGCAGCAGUGGGGAAUAUUGCACAAUGGGCGAAAGCCUGAUGCAGCGACGCCGCGUGAGGGAUGACGGCCUUCGGGUUGUAAACCUCUUUCAGCUCCGACGAAGCGAAAGUGACGGUAGGAGCAGAAGAAGCACCGGCCAACUACGUGCCAGCAGCCGC